Notolabrus celidotus (New Zealand spotty) is the source of this 881-nucleotide long non-coding RNA. RefSeq lists it as uncharacterized. The record is from RefSeq and is a predicted model, not a curated record. NCBI's taxonomy places the organism in Eukaryota, Metazoa, Chordata, Actinopteri, Labriformes, Labridae. The transcript has 2 exons.
CCGGAAGGUGGCGGUAAAGCGCCUAAAGUCAAAUCACAGAAGAAGAAGAUGGGGACAGACAACACUCCAGCUGUAAAGUCAGAAGACAAUCUCACAAUGUUCCAAUCUAAAGACGCUCAGCUGUCUUUACCGAAACACUCAUACUGGUUUGACUUCUGGGCGUUCCUGCUCUUCGACAUCGUGUUUUUCCUCUUCAUGUACUUCAUCGUCCCCUGAAACAGGUGAAACAGGCCUUCUCCUCUGGAUACUGCGACCCGAAGACGUGGGGUCCUUUUCCGUCCUGCUGCAGAAUUGCUAACCCAGCUUCAGCUGAAUGUAACACCAGCUUAUUGGAUAUCUUGAUGGAUAACUUGAAACCUGGAGCUGCAAGUUUAUAAAUGUUGAGCCCUUUUUUGAUAUCAGAGAUGUGAACCACCAUUGUCCUCUCCUCUGUGACCUGGUGACGGGGUCUAUGGACUGCCCUGUGUGACUGGAUGUCACCAUGGGAAAGACAUAUAUUCUAAGUAUUCAGAUUGAAGAAUGGCAAUGACAUCAUGAGGACUCAAAAAAUGCUCCUUCUUAAAGUUCCUUGGAAACUGUUCCAGGUGUUAUACAUUUAAAUGCAAAAUAUUCUGUUGUAGUUUUUUAUUAAGUAGUCUGUCAACAAGAAUGAACUGUGUUGCUUUUUACUUGUAAGUGGUCUUAUUUUAUUUCUGAACAUUUUAUUUUUCAGUUUUGGAGUCCUUCAUCGCUUUGUUUUCUUGUAAUAAGCCCUGUACUAAGCAGACACAAGAUUUUGCAAGAAGUACACCAAGUAAUGGAACAAAGUGAUUCCAGCUCACCAAAAUCUGCACAUUUUGCACAUGGAAAUAAAGUGUUUUGAGUAACAGAUAAAUGGUUAA